Long non-coding RNA from Monodelphis domestica (gray short-tailed opossum), 425 nucleotides. RefSeq lists it as uncharacterized. NCBI's taxonomy places the organism in Eukaryota, Metazoa, Chordata, Mammalia, Didelphimorphia, Didelphidae. The record is from RefSeq and is a predicted model, not a curated record.
GGUGGGGGUGGGGGGGAAGGGGUCUGGACCAGGGACAUUCUGAGCUGCUGUAUACACUCUUUCUCCUCCCCACUGUACCAAGGUUUGGGUCAGAUGGGCUGGGACAGGGAGAUCCUGGAAGAGUCUAGAUAUUUGGAUCCAAUUUUUUUCAGGACAGUCCUCAGACCCAGAAGGCACAUGGCGCCUCCCACACAUUCACUGAGCCCUGAACCCCUGCACCAGCAAGAGAAGAACAAAACAGCUCCGAUUCCCAUUACCCAGCCUGGCUGGGGAAGAGUGAGGUGUUUCUGGGUAUCCAGCAUCCUUCUGGUCACCGAAGCUUCCCCUGCUGCCCACACGCUCUAAUUGCCCCAUGCAUCCUGGGCAAAGGAGCUACCAUCUCUUCAAAAGACUGGGAUGAAAUAAAAUAUACCAACCUCACUGAA